Molecule: ribosomal RNA, 197 nt
Filed under: uncultured bacterium
Lineage: Bacteria
Description: partial 16S ribosomal RNA
Rfam family: Bacterial small subunit ribosomal RNA
Source: RNAcentral
ACGCUCGACACCUACGGGGGGCAGCAGUGGGGAAUAUUGCACAAUGGGGGAAACCCUGAUGCAGCGACGCCGCGUGAGCGAAGAAGUAUUUCGGUAUGUAAAGCUCUAUCAGCAGGGAAGAAACUGACGGUACCUGACUAAGAAGCACCGGCUAAAUACGUGCCGCAGCCGCGGUAAUCUGAGCGGGCUGGCAAGGC